This 2516-nucleotide ribosomal RNA is filed under the name Staphylococcus aureus. RNAcentral's name for it is "partial 23S ribosomal RNA". It matches the Rfam family "Bacterial large subunit ribosomal RNA", at positions 405 to 2925 of the family's 2925-position model. Lineage: Bacteria; Bacillati; Bacillota; Bacilli; Caryophanales; Staphylococcaceae. The record is from RNAcentral.
AUCCUGAGUACGACGGAGCACGUGAAAUUCCGUCGGAAUCUGGGAGGACCAUCUCCUAAGGCUAAAUACUCUCUAGUGACCGAUAGUGAACCAGUACCGUGAGGGAAAGGUGAAAAGCACCCCGGAAGGGGAGUGAAAUAGAACCUGAAACCGUGUGCUUACAAGUAGUCAGAGCCCGUUAAUGGGUGAUGGCGUGCCUUUUGUAGAAUGAACCGGCGAGUUACGAUUUGAUGCAAGGUUAAGCAGUAAAUGUGGAGCCGUAGCGAAAGCGAGUCUGAAUAGGGCGUUUAGUAUUUGGUCGUAGACCCGAAACCAGGUGAUCUACCCUUGGUCAGGUUGAAGUUCAGGUAACACUGAAUGGAGGACCGAACCGACUUACGUUGAAAAGUGAGCGGAUGAACUGAGGGUAGCGGAGAAAUUCCAAUCGAACCUGGAGAUAGCUGGUUCUCUCCGAAAUAGCUUUAGGGCUAGCCUCAAGUGAUGAUUAUUGGAGGUAGAGCACUGUUUGGACGAGGGGCCCCUCUCGGGUUACCGAAUUCAGACAAACUCCGAAUGCCAAUUAAUUUAACUUGGGAGUCAGAACAUGGGUGAUAAGGUCCAUGUUCGAAAGGGAAACAGCCCAGACCACCAGCUAAGGUCCCAAAAUAUAUGUUAAGUGGAAAAGGAUGUGGCGUUGCCCAGACAACUAGGAUGUUGGCUUAGAAGCAGCCAUCAUUUAAAGAGUGCGUAAUAGCUCACUAGUCGAGUGACACUGCGCCGAAAAUGUACCGGGGCUAAACAUAUUACCGAAGCUGUGGAUUGUCCUUUGGACAAUGGUAGGAGAGCGUUCUAAGGGCGUUGAAGCAUGAUCGCAAGGACAUGUGGAGCGCUUAGAAGUGAGAAUGCCGGUGUGAGUAGCGAAAGAUGGGUGAGAAUCCCGUCCACCGAUUGACUAAGGUUUCCAGAGGAAGGCUCGUCCGCUCUGGGUUAGUCGGGUCCUAAGCUGAGGCCGACAGGCGUAGGCGAUGGAUAACAGGUUGAUAUUCCUGUACCACCUAUAAUCGUUUUAAUCGAUGGGGGGACGCAGUAGGAUAGGCGAAGCGUGCGAUUGGAUUGCACGUCUAAGCAGUAAGGCUGAGUAUUAGGCAAAUCCGGUACUCGUUAAGGCUGAGCUGUGAUGGGGAGAAGACAUUGUGUCUUCGAGUCGUUGAUUUCACACUGCCGAGAAAAGCCUCUAGAUAGAAAAUAGGUGCCCGUACCGCAAACCGACACAGGUAGUCAAGAUGAGAAUUCUAAGGUGAGCGAGCGAACUCUCGUUAAGGAACUCGGCAAAAUGACCCCGUAACUUCGGGAGAAGGGGUGCUCUUUAGGGUUAACGCCCAGAAGAGCCGCAGUGAAUAGGCCCAAGCGACUGUUUAUCAAAAACACAGGUCUCUGCUAAACCGUAAGGUGAUGUAUAGGGGCUGACGCCUGCCCGGUGCUGGAAGGUUAAGAGGAGUGGUUAGCUUCUGCGAAGCUACGAAUCGAAGCCCCAGUAAACGGCGGCCGUAACUAUAACGGUCCUAAGGUAGCGAAAUUCCUUGUCGGGUAAGUUCCGACCCGCACGAAAGGCGUAACGAUUUGGGCACUGUCUCAACGAGAGACUCGGUGAAAUCAUAGUACCUGUGAAGAUGCAGGUUACCCGCGACAGGACGGAAAGACCCCGUGGAGCUUUACUGUAGCCUGAUAUUGAAAUUCGGCACAGCUUGUACAGGAUAGGUAGGAGCCUUUGAAACGUGAGCGCUAGCUUACGUGGAGGCGCUGGUGGGAUACUACCCUAGCUGUGUUGGCUUUCUAACCCGCACCACUUAUCGUGGUGGGAGACAGUGUCAGGCGGGCAGUUUGACUGGGGCGGUCGCCUCCUAAAAGGUAACGGAGGCGCUCAAAGGUUUCCUCAGAAUGGUUGGAAAUCAUUCAUAGAGUGUAAAGGCAUAAGGGAGCUUGACUGCGAGACCUACAAGUCGAGCAGGGUCGAAAGACGGACUUAGUGAUCCGGUGGUUCCGCAUGGAAGGGCCAUCGCUCAACGGAUAAAAGCUACCCCGGGGAUAACAGGCUUAUCUCCCCCAAGAGUUCACAUCGACGGGGAGGUUUGGCACCUCGAUGUCGGCUCAUCGCAUCCUGGGGCUGUAGUCGGUCCCAAGGGUUGGGCUGUUCGCCCAUUAAAGCGGUACGCGAGCUGGGUUCAGAACGUCGUGAGACAGUUCGGUCCCUAUCCGUCGUGGGCGUAGGAAAUUUGAGAGGAGCUGUCCUUAGUACGAGAGGACCGGGAUGGACAUACCUCUGGUGUACCAGUUGUCGUGCCAACGGCAUAGCUGGGUAGCUAUGUGUGGACGGGAUAAGUGCUGAAAGCAUCUAAGCAUGAAGCCCCCCUCAAGAUGAGAUUUCCCAACUUCGGUUAUAAGAUCCCUCAAAGAUGAUGAGGUUAAUAGGUUCGAGGUGGAAGCAUGGUGACAUGUGGAGCUGACGAAUACUAAUCGAUCGAAGACUUAAUCAAAUU